This 256-nucleotide ribosomal RNA is filed under the name uncultured bacterium. RNAcentral describes it as "partial 16S ribosomal RNA". It matches the Rfam family "Bacterial small subunit ribosomal RNA", at positions 524 to 779 of the family's 1533-position model. The record is from RNAcentral.
UACGUAGGGUGCAAGCGUUAAUCGGAAUUACUGGGCGUAAAGCGUGCGCAGGCGGUUCGUUGUGUCGGCGGUGAAAGCCCCGGGCUUAACCUGGGAAUGGCCGUUGAAACUGGCGAACUGGAGUGUGGCAGAGGGGGGUGGAAUUCCGCGUGUAGCAGUGAAAUGCGUAGAUAUGUGGAGGAACACCGAUGGCGAAGGCAGCCCCCUGGGUCAAGACUGACGCUCGAUGCACGAAGGCGUGGGGAGCAACAGGAUU